CGCUGACGUUGUUCAGGCGGGUAGAGAUUGCGUAAAGUGCGCAGGAAGGCGCAGUCAUCACCGUAGCUUAACAGCAAGGCAAGACUAGUGCUGUACAAAUGACAGACGCAGAGCAGGCCUUGCAGCUGUGUUUCUGAGCCCAUACCCACCCCCUAAGAGAUCCUUCUUCCUCGCCAUGAUUUCACAGACCUCCACUUACUCCAUUGUGCUGAGAAACAAAAAAUAAAAGAAACACAAUCGCCUUGUCCUCUUUCUCAUCUUAAUAAGCAGCUCCAAGUUUGAUAAUUACACGUUCAGCCCGCCGCAUGAGUUUCUAUGCAGUGUUCACAUCAGGGAGAAAGCCAUUGACUCCGCUGUUGAGGGGAGCAACUAUUAGGAAUGACUGACAACUGUCCCCCUCCCCCUUUGGUCGUGGAGGCUGUAAAAGUGAGAACAGCGCCGAUCAAUUCUGUCUCCUCGUUAGGGAGUGUGUCCCUGAACACCACCAUGUAACUAUCGGAGCAGCCAGCGGACCACAUACGUUGCAAGGCCCAUAAUCCAUUCCAUAACCUAUCGCCAUGUGCUGCCGAUUAAUGGGGUUUCUGCGGAGCAAGCGCCGAGGAGACGGCCAGACUGAGGGUUUUCUUCUGUGGCGGAAGCCAAUCUGUUUAGGAUUAGGGGAAUAACUGGUGUGGCUGACACCGAUGCAUCCAACAUGCAGGGCUAAGGAGGAGAGAAGAGAAGAGGAGAGAGAAAAGAGGAAGAAGUGCAGUGAAUGUGUUGACAGGGAGUUGAUUGUGUUUUGGCAGGGGUCUGGUCAUUGGUGGUGGUUUGAAUCUAUAACUGGUGACUGUCUUGGGAGUCCAAAAUCUGAGAGGCAUCUGUGGUUGUUUAGUCCACUGCACUUUAUUUAUAGAAAGCAUCUUCAUUCCUGUAAGAAAUUAUGUUAUGUUAAUUUAUAUUUUGGCUGAUUAUUGCAACUUCCAGUUAUUCAUAACAGUUUUGGAGUAUCAUCUUAUCCGAGAUCAUCAAAAUAAAGGAUACACUGUUCUCCUGUCUUCUGUUUCCAGACUGUUUGAAGCAGAGACAUACCUUAUCUGACUCCUCCACACAGAGAGGCCUUCUUUUGUGAACCAGUGGCCCACUCAGCCAUUAUGAUGGCAAUCUUGAUGAUUAAAGACCCGUGGAGCAAACUGGGCUACCUGUUGCCAUGAUGUCAUGUCUAGUCUAGAGCCACUGCAAUGAUUAAGAUUUAAGGCCAUUAGAGAACUUUACUGGAUGCUGUUUGUGGAAAAAUAUCAAUUAGCUUUUGGCUACAAAAAAGCAGUUUAUGUUUUGGAUCUGAUGUUCUGGCUCUUAGUGAAUAUUUAGGGGCACAUAUAGGUGCAAAUGCUUUUUUUUCUUCUUUUGGAAUAACUAAUGUAUAAGAAACAGCUGUUUCUUGAAACCACACUUUUGUAUCCAGACUUGACGCAACCAAUUAUCACUCUUGGAUUAAAAGAAUCAGCUCUUCAACUCUUGGCUCAUGGGUUAUUGUUGGAUGUCUGGGUUUGGAUUAAAUAGCAAAGUGCCAUAUUAAUCUACCAACAGAGAGUUACAAUUAGUUUGAGGAAUUGGGUACAUUUGAAUUUAUGAAGCCUAUAUUUCAACCAUUUCCCAAUAAAGUUUGCUGCCAUUGCUGUCAAAUUGAUUGAAAACAGUAGUUACAUAAUUUUUUUUUAAGGAAGCUCUACGUGCAGCAGCUCUAAGACAACUACUGUUAAAGCUGCAUUAAUGCAUAUUUUUAUGUUAACAACGGAAGAAGUGUUUACCUGUCUGUCUGCUUUUAGUGCAAACAAACAGAAAAUGUUCCCCUUGCAUCUAAGCAGCAUUUUAAAGUAUUUUAGCUCAUUGCAGAUGCGGCUUGCAGCUUUACUGUUUUGGUUUCAAUCUCACAGCUUCCAUCAACCACAUUUCCUGUUUCAACAAAAAUGCCUAGACUGACAAAGUCAGUUACCAGCUGAUGAACACAGUGGCGCAUUUAGCAGAGAAAGAGUUAAGCAUAAGAUGCAGAUAUUGCCCUCAUGGAUAGGUGGUGACCAAAACAGAGCUACAAGGAUAGCGAAUAUUGGACUAGACUUAAGUCUUAAAUGCAGUUCUAAAUGAAUGUUGCUCUGUAACUGCUGGAUAGAUAAACAGGUAACAUUGCUAACAUGUUUGCCAUAUCAAUUUAAUAAAGUGGAAUUAUGCCGGUGCUUUAACAUAAAAUUAUUUCUACUCUGCAUUAAUGGAUUAUUAAUAGUGACCACAGGUAUCACUGGCAUAAUCUUUAUCCCUAUGGAGAUUAUAUUGAAAGAAAUGUCUUAAUAUUAGGAAAUGUAUUAGGUGUUGAAAAGCUGUAAAAGAACCUUGGACAUCAAAAGAGCAAUAUUAGGUGAGGCAGUCAGUCCAGAAAGCAUACAGCACACAACAAUGCUAAUUUGUUCACUUGUCUUUACUUCCUCGUAGUGCAUCAUGCAGAUUAUUGGCAACUAUUAGUUACGAUGCUUAAUAUUUACAACUUUUUGUUAUUUGUUUGGAAAUAUACAUGGAUGCACAAGGUUAAAAACUGAGGGUGAGUCAAACACUGAAAGUGGAAAGUAGAGCGAGGAGGUUCAAGAGAAGAUGCAGAGCAAACAACCAUUUAGCAGAAAGGUUGUUACAGGUGUGUAGACACACACACACACACACACACACACACACACACACACACACACACACACACACACACACACACACGCCACUCUUUAUGUUCAGAAACCCCUGUGAUAACAUAUUGCUUGUUUCCUCACCUCACUGCACAGUCAUAUGGGUUCAUAGGACCUGCUCAGCCUUCCUCUGCCCUCUAUGAUCACAGUUUGCCACAGCUUCACCUCCACCUCUGCAAACCACAGUGAGGGGCAUCCAUAUGUAUGGAUGAACUGACAAACAUAACACAAGGGAUUAUUUUUCUUUCCUCCUCUGUCUUUAUUUUAUUCAUUCACCAUACAUCUUCCUCUCACAUCUCUCUUUUCAUCCCUCCCUCCUCCUCUUCAACCUUCUCACAGGUGGCUGAGCCCCAGCCUCACGCACAUGGAAGCGGGCUCUUCUCAUCGCCCGGGACCUCGGCCUCUGAAGCACUCCUCUGGGAGAUUCCACCAGAGACCCAGGCUCGCAAUGCAAAUGUACAGCCACACUCGAAGUGAAAAAUCUGAGAGACUGUGGCCCUUGGAACAUUUUUUUUCACACAAGAGACACACGCAGUAUGCAACACAGAUACCUACGCACGCAACUUACUAACACCCAACAAAGCACUUGCCUUCUCCGUCCUCCCUUAGGGCAGUGUUGUUUUUGGCUUGGGCUGGGACAUAUGUCACUGGGGAGCAUGUGUAGUGCCUGGUUAAUUAGGGCUACCUCAAAGCACGCAUAAAAACGGAGGCGAUAUUUAUUAGGCAGCAUUUUAGCUGCUUGUCAUGAGUGCGUGUCGACGCUGUAAAACAAAGUUUGAAUGAGUGAGUCAGAAAAUGUUCUGUAACUAACCAUUGCUACCUCGCUGCUCAUGGAGAGAUUGACAUUUCAAGCUUCUUUGCUUCAAUUCACAAAUUCAUCCUGGUGCCGUGCUCCGUAUACACUCUCACGGAAGAUGUAUCCCUCUACCAGUAGUAUUUAUUUGUUGUAAUCAAGUGGACAGAGCGAUGUUUGUCCCCUAGUGCUUGCUGUACAUGACUCCUCUUGCAGCAGAGGUACAACACUGUUACACACCAGAAGCGUCUGUUAAUGUGUGAUAAUUUACGAUGUCCAUUUUGAGGUGGUUAUGUAAAAGCAGACUUGUUUAAUUUUGCACUGAAAGCUAAUAAAUCCCUGAUGUAGUGUGAGUUAGUGUUACUGUAACUGUGAUGAAAAUUUGUAACACGCAGUCAGUGUUGAUACACGUCAGAAGUGAAAACAAAUUUAGUAUCAAUGUGUGCUGAAAUUAUAUAUUCCUCUUCACAUACUCACUUCUUCAGAAGGGUAAGAGUGUGCGGUUGGCAACAGUAUAGACAGGUUUCCUGUUUACAGUCCAGGAUGUGCACACAGCAGAGGGGUGGAAAAACAUUGCCACAAUGCCAUGAUUGCUUAUAUAUGGACAUUUUCAGUAUAUAAAAAUCGACUCUCUGGAAUCUUGUAAAAUUACUGUUCAGCAAUCAUCCUCCCUUCUCCUUCCACUUUUUUUUUUAACACUGAUAGUCAUCUGUUGGUUCCAGCUAAUGUUAUCUAAUAUGAGCCAUGAAACUCCAGGGAGCUAGUAGCAGUGAUAAUCUUAGUUGAGACUACACAAACCUAGCUCUUGCAAGUAGUAAGUAUUACUGUAACUGAUAAUGGGUAGCACAGAUUAAAAGCACAGAAUACCCUCCAUAAGUAAUGUUAACAUAGGUAACAUGCUGGGUGCCAUGCCAUUAGUCUGAAACCGUAAAAUAACUGAAAACCUUUUUUUCUUAGGUAAAUACCUGGUUCAUGUAAAUGACCAGAGCCAUCACACUUCGAGCUUGAUGACGGCUAUACAGGAAUCUACAGUAUGGGUGACGUCACAGAGACUACGUCCAUUCUUAAUUAUACCGUCUACGGGAAUCAACAACCUGCGUAAGUAACUUUACUGAUGUUUCCAACGUACAUAUUUAUUUUAACCCAAACCAUGAUCUUUUCCUAAACCUAACCAAACUGAGACCCUUUCACAACGGUAACCACAUAUUUGUUAUUGUUACCAUGACAACAAAGGUCAACUGACUUUGUCCUUCCCGCACGUCCAAAACUCCAGGGAGGGUGUGUAUUUUCUGGAAAAACAGGCUUUUGGAGCAGUGGGCUUUUGUUAACAGGAUCGGACAAAUGGGCUUUCGGUCUGGCGGGACAUUUUUUCGAACUAUGGGGGUCUCGGAAUAAUGGGUCGUUGUCAAAACAUUAAGCAGUCCCCUCCUGCUAUUAUUAGCAUGUGUACAAAAUCCUACUGUUUACUUCCACAAUAUGUAUGUAUUAGACAUCUAGAGUGUGUAUGGGCAAAGCAAAGCUUACCUAUAAGAAACUCCUUUCACACCUUUUAGACAAUUACAAACUCAUGACACAGGGUUAAACAGAACAUUUCCUAUAAUAAAAAACUCCAAGAUCCACUAUUUUGAUGGAAAUUUUUCUUUUUUAUUGUUUUUUAGCUGAUGUAAAACCCAAGAGUAUUAUUCACUUUUAAUUGUCUUUCCUUCUAAAGUGGAAUUCCAAAAAGAAGUAGUCCAUCUGAGGAAAAACCAACAUCUGCCACUUUUUUCAGACCCUUCAAUGUGACAUUGAUGCAGCCUGUCACGCACAAACUCUUUGUCACCUGUUUGUCUUCCUCCAGCGAACACAAAGACUAUUGUUUUUGGUUGUGUUUGGAGUAUUUUGGCCACUUCACACCUGUCAUUCACAUCUAUCCCAGCCUGUACAUUCAGCAGCGUGAAGGGAGGGUCAUUUUUUUUCUUCUCUGAACUGCUCUCAUUUUCCCAGUGAAUGGAUAAAUAUGUGAUUGUCCAAUUUAUACAAAAGACCAACUACCUAAUAAUUGUUCCCACAAAGACAGAUUCAUGGACAGCCACAGAUGUGUCCUUCCCAUGAAUGACUUUGACGUUAAGCUGAGAGUAGAUUGUUGUACUAAAUGCAGUCAUAUCAUAGCUGAAUUGUUUGUUUUUUCCCACUAUAUUGCAUGUCUACAAAAGCUCCUAUAACACUGUAGUGUGACCUGGUUGAUUCAAGGGUUUUGGUUUCAUGAUUCUUGGCCUGGAGGAGAGUGGGUUGUGGUUAGGAGUGAGGGUGCCAACAGAGGCCAUGUGAUAGGCAUUACCUCAGAGCGAGGGUCCAUGGAGAUGAUUAUACUUUAAGAGCUUUUUAAUGCUCAUUAACACUUAUGGCUCCUCUCAGGCCUGGGAUUAAAUCCUACUUCUCCCUUUUGCUGACAUGAAGCUGUACCAGGAAUAUAGGGGAUUAAAACAGUGCACAAAGAAAAACAUGUAUCAAAAAGGAAAUAAUGUGUUACAUUUAAAUGGAAUUCUUCAGAAAUUCCUCUGAGGUUUUGAUACAUAAGUAAGUGUUUGUAUCAUUCUGACACACCUGAGUGCCACAAUAUCUAGAUAUUAUCCAGACCCUCUUAAGCCUCCAUAAACAUUGAGUUAGUAUGCUGCUACUGGCAUUUAUAUAAAACCACUUAAAUACUCAACACACAUUACAUUGCACAUUAAGCACAAUUUGUCACAGAAAGACUGAAAGCAGAGCAUUCCCUAAGAGCUGUAAACAUAUUUUUUCAUGACAUUACACUCAAGUUUACCACAUCUUUUCCAAAGUUUUAAGCAGAAGAUGGAGAUGCAUCAUGGACAUGAUGUUCCGGUCAUUUUUCUGCAAAUUACAAUAGUCUGUUGUUACCAGGAUUAGAGGAAAAUAUCAAACUUGCUGAGUGUUGUUAGGGACAUGCAGUAAUUGUUAAUACAGUACUGUUGUAAUAUACUUAUAAUGAUAAGGUAUUUUCCACCUUGCGUGCAUGCAUAAAUGCGAUUAUGGUGAGAGCAGCAUGAUCACCUACUAAAAUUAAACAUAGUUCUAUUACACUAUUUAAUUUUAUGAGCCACCAUUCAAUGUUUUUCUCCAGUUUUCUCCAUUCCAUUUUAACUUCAUACCUCCUUGGCUCUGGUAAUUUAGCAUAAAAAAAUAAUUAAUGAUGGCCACAUGCUUCACUGAAGAAACAUUAGAAAGAUGGAAAGAAAGCUCUAUGCUUGUCACUAACUCUAACAGGGAGUUGUUGAAAUUAAGGACAUAAUUUCUGGUAGACGUGUUACAUAUAUAAAUAUGAUUCUUCAUGCCAUUCUCCUUGCUAAAACCUCAAAAUUUUUCCCUCAGUUUUACAGCAGUAGCCUUGUUGGUUUUUCUAGUGGCAUGAUUUGGCCUUCACAGAUUGGUUUUAGGAUACAAAAUGGGGCCAGUAAAUUCUGCCAGACCGUAAGAACUUGAGACUUAGGUCUUCACCAAACCAUAGCACUGACCCAGACGCUAAUCACGGGUUGCUAAACCAAGUCAUGAUAGCUGGUGUAUUUAUGAACGUGCAAAAUCAACAGGGGGACUAAGUGAAAAUAGUUGGUUACCAUCUACUUCCUCUGCCCCAUUUUUAUUAUCCAACACAGAGAUUAAUUUUGUCAGCUGUCAGUGAUGCCUUAUGUUUGAUGGCGUAUCAGGUGUAGCUUAUGACGCAUCACUCAUGUUACUUGAUACCUGAACUAAGACAGAGCUAGGAGUAUUCUCAAUUAAUUUGAUAGCAGAAGAUUCUUUAAAACCACAAAGAUUUCCAACUUAAAGGAAACAGUUCAACAUUUUAGAAAAUGCGCUUUUUUACUUUCAUUCCAAGAGAGAGAUCAGAAGACUGAUAUCAGACUGUCUUGUCUUUCUGUUAGGUUUGGAGUUGGUGUUAGAUCGUGUUUACCUAGCUUUGCAUAAAGUCUGGAAGCGGGAGAAACAGCAAGACUCUGUCCCUCCAAAGGUCUCUUAUUUACAUAAUAUAUCUUGUUUGUUUCAUUCUUUACGUACCAUCUUUACAUAAGCAACAAUUUUUAUAUAUGCAUAACUAUGUUUUCAUUAGUCAUUAAACAAGAAUCACUGUGCUUUUGGAUUAUUUUUGGGGAGGAAGCGAGGGAGUUGCAAUCUGCAAUUACACCGCUAGGUGCCACUAAAUCCUACACACUGGAUCUUUAAAUGUACAAUGAUACAGGACAUGAAAUUAAUACAUCUUCUCAGGGCACUCUUGGAAAGAUAAGUGUGAUUCCCAAAAUUGUACUCAUUUAAUAUACUGCUAACUACAAAGACUUAAACCUGACUUCUGUGCGAAGAACUCUGAAACAACAUUACAGGAUCUUCCAUCAUCAGUAAGUUUGGUUUAUGUGAUUAAUACUUCUGGGGUUUCCAUCAAACAGUGGUUUACUUUAUAUUUAUGCAACCUCUCUGUGAAUUGCAAGGGUCUUGCAAAACUCCCUCCAGUCUUGAUUAAUUUGAUUAAUUGAUAACACAGCAGAGUUGAAGCUUGCUGCAGAAGAUUUAUUCAACACUAAGGUCUAACAUAUUGAAAAGCAGAGGCUGAAAAAUGGCAAAGGGACACAUUGGUUUGUUUUGGCUUGGGAACCUUGUUCCACUCUACGAAAUGGGUUUGCAGACUACUGGUGUGGAGCCGCUCUCUUUUAUUUGACUAUGUGCCUCACUGUGAGAAAGGAAAAAAUGGCUUUGUAUAAUCACCAACCAGCCAUAUGGCCCCAAAAAAAGGAAAAAAAUGUUGGCAACUGUUUUUUGUGCAGAACAUUAAAAAGAGAGCAAGAGAGAGAGGGGCAGAGGGAGACGUUUCUGACCGCAACUCAUAAACCGCACUUUAUUUAGACUGGCGUGCACCCAUUAUUUGUUCACAGGGGCUUUCAGUCAGUCUGAGGGAAAUAUGUUCCAGCAUCUGGGGAGAGGAGAGGGAGGGAGAGGGGGAUGAUGGAGGAGGGAGAGAGAGAGAGAGAGAGAGGAGGUAGGAUGAACUCUUGCCAGGUGUCGGCUGUUGCCAUGGCGUUCCAUCAGGCGACUCCAUUGCGGCUCGGCGGGCUCAUCAGAGACUGAAUGCCAAUGGGAGGGCGUUUGCACCGUGGAGAAACCGAAAGUGGCUCUAAAGCA
Long non-coding RNA from Dicentrarchus labrax (European seabass), 8658 nucleotides. RefSeq lists it as uncharacterized. NCBI's taxonomy places the organism in Eukaryota, Metazoa, Chordata, Actinopteri, Moronidae. The transcript is spliced from 3 exons. The record is from RefSeq and is a predicted model, not a curated record.